RNAcentral lists this ribosomal RNA (253 nucleotides) under uncultured bacterium. RNAcentral's name for it is "partial 16S ribosomal RNA". It matches the Rfam family "Bacterial small subunit ribosomal RNA", at positions 524 to 776 of the family's 1533-position model. The record is from RNAcentral.
GACGAACCGUGCGAACGUUAUUCGGAAUCACUGGGCUUAAAGGGCGCGUAGGCGGGCUCCCAAGUCUGCGGUGAAAUCCUCCAGCUUAACUGGAGAAGUGCCGUGGAUACUGGGAGUCUCGAGGAGGGUAGGGGCAUCUGGAACGUUGGGUGGAGCGGUGAAAUGCGUUGAUAUCCAACGGAACUCCGGUGGCGAAGGCGAGGUGCUGGACCCUUUCUGACGCUGAGGCGCGAAAGCCAGGGGAGCGAACGGG